RNAcentral lists this ribosomal RNA (460 nucleotides) under uncultured bacterium. RNAcentral's name for it is "partial 16S ribosomal RNA". It matches the Rfam family "Bacterial small subunit ribosomal RNA", at positions 338 to 795 of the family's 1533-position model. The record is from RNAcentral.
CCUACGGGAGGCAGCAGUGAGGAAUAUUGGUCAAUGGACGCAAGUCUGAACCAGCCAUGCCGCGUGCAGGAAGACGGCUCUAUGAGUUGUAAACUGCUUUUGUACGAGGGUAAACGCAGAUACGCGUAUCUGUCUGAAAGUAUCGUACGAAUAAGGAUCGGCUAACUCCGUGCAAGCAGCCGCGGUAAUACGGAGGAUUCAAGCGUUAUCCGGAUUUAUUGGGUUUAAAGGGAGCGUAGGCGGUCGGAUAAGUUAGAGGUGAAAUCCCGAGGCUCAACUUCGGAAUUGCAUCUGAUACUGUUCGGCUAGAGAGUAGUUGCGGUAGGCGGAAUGUAUGGUGUAGCGGUGAAAUGCUUAGAGAUCAUACAGAACACCGAUUGCGAAGGCAGCUUACCAAGCUACUUCUGACGUUGAGGCACGAAAGCGUGGGGAGCAAACAGGAUUAGAUACCCCUGUAGUC